Molecule: ribosomal RNA, 807 nt
Filed under: uncultured bacterium
Lineage: Bacteria
Description: bacterial SSU rRNA
Rfam family: Bacterial small subunit ribosomal RNA
Source: RNAcentral
AAACUAGAUACAAGCGAGCGGCGGACGGGUGAGUAACACGUGGGUAACCUGCCCAAGAGACUGGGAUAACACCUGGAAACAGAUGCUAAUACCGGAUAACAACACUAGACGCAUGUCUAGAGUUUGAAAGAUGGUUCUGCUAUCACUCUUGGAUGGACCUGCGGUGCAUUAGCUAGUUGGUAAGGUAACGGCUUACCAAGGCAAUGAUGCAUAGCCGAGUUGAGAGACUGAUCGGCCACAUUGGGACUGAGACACGGCCCAAACUCCUACGGGAGGCAGCAGUAGGGAAUCUUCCACAAUGGACGAAAGUCUGAUGGAGCAACGCCGCGUGAGUGAAGAAGGGUUUCGGCUCGUAAAGCUCUGUUGGUAGUGAAGAAAGAUAGAGGUAGUAACUGGCCUUUAUUUGACGGUAAUUACUUAGAAAGUCACGGCUAACUACGUGCCAGCAGCCGCGGUAAUACGUAGGUGGCAAGCGUUGUCCGGAUUUAUUGGGCGUAAAGCGAGUGCAGGCGGUUCAAUAAGUCUGAUGUGAAAGCCUUCGGCUCAACCGGAGAAUUGCAUCAGAAACUGUUGAACUUGAGUGCAGAAGAGGAGAGUGGAACUCCAUGUGUAGCGGUGGAAUGCGUAGAUAUAUGGAAGAACACCAGUGGCGAAGGCGGCUCUCUGGUCUGCAACUGACGCUGAGGCUCGAAAGCAUGGGUAGCGAACAGGAUUAGAUACCCUGGUAGUCCAUGCCGUAAACGAUGAGUGCUAAGUGUUGGGAGGUUUUCCGCCUCUCAGUGCUGCAGCUAACGCAUUAAGCACUCC